ACUUAAUUUGGUUUUUGAGAAAAUUUUUGUUUUUUAUUACAUAGUUGGAAUUAUUAUAAAGAUAUAAUAUUAGUUUUUCUUACCUUUGGUAUAAUGGUUAUACUAAAAUUAUGUAGAAUUAUAUUUCCCGAAUUAAGAAGAACUAUUUAUUAACUUAUUUUGGUAAUUAAAAAAAUUAUGUGGAAAUAUAAUUUAAAGAUUAUUAAAUAGGAGCGAAAAGCUUUCAAUUCUUAAGAUAUCUGGAAGUUUGGGAAAAGCAUUUAGUGCUAACUAGUUAAUCAAGAAGCGAUGAGGUUUCUUGAUAAUAAAAUUUUAGAUCAAUAUCUUAUUCUUAACAAUUAACCCUACAGAGAUUUAGAUUUAAAACCAUUUUUUUCUUAUUAAAUUUAUUUUUUACCUGACUUUUCUAAAUAAUUUUUUUUAGAAAUAAUAAUGUAUAAAUGAGUAGUAGUUAUAAUUAAUUUUAUUAGUUUAUAAAUUUUUUUUAAUAAAUAUAACUUAAAUUAACUAUAAGGAACUCGGCAAAUAUAGACUUCGACUGUUUAACAAAAACAUAGCUUUAGGAAUAGAUCUAAGGUUAUACCUGCCCAAUGUGCAAUUCUAUUAAUGGCCGCGGUACCUUGACCGUGCUAAGGUAGCGCAAUCAGUUGGCUCUUAAUUGGGGUCAGGAAUGAAUGGAGUUACGGAGUUUUACUGUCUCUUAGUUAAUUAUUCUAAAUUACUAUCUAGGUGAAAAAGCCUAAUAAUAGAAAGGGGACGAGAAGACCCUUAGAGUUUGACCUAUAUAAAUUUUAGAAAUUGUGUUUAUAAUGGUUUAGUUGGGGCAACGUAGGAGCAAUAAGGAAAGAGUAAAAUCUCCUAAAUUUUAUUAACCGAUAUUUUUAAAUUUGAAUAAACUACCUUAGGGAUAACAGCAUAAUUUAAUAAAUAAGUUUGUGACCUCGAUGUUGGACUAGGAAAGUUAAAGGCUAGCCGUCUUUAAGGAAAGUUCUGUUCGAACUAUUAUUCCUACAUGAUCUGAGUUCAGACCGGCGUGAGCCAGGUCAGAUUCUAUCUCUUUAUAAUAAAAAUUUAGUACGAAAGGACCAAUUUUUAAUAUAAAUGUUUAUAUAC
RNAcentral lists this ribosomal RNA (1113 nucleotides) under Doriprismatica atromarginata. RNAcentral's name for it is "16S ribosomal RNA". The stretch from base 424 to 1113 matches the Rfam family "Eukaryotic large subunit ribosomal RNA", at positions 1889 to 3070 of the family's 3401-position model. Lineage: Eukaryota; Metazoa; Mollusca; Gastropoda; Nudibranchia; Chromodorididae. The record is from RNAcentral.